This 458-nucleotide ribosomal RNA is filed under the name uncultured bacterium. RNAcentral describes it as "bacterial SSU rRNA". It matches the Rfam family "Bacterial small subunit ribosomal RNA", at positions 28 to 490 of the family's 1533-position model. The record is from RNAcentral.
GAUGAACGCUGGCGGCGCGCCUAAUACAUGCAAGUCGAGCGACGAAACCGAAGUGGGUAACCACUUCGGCUGAAAGCGGCGAACGGGUGAGUAACACGUGGGUAACGUGCCCCGAACUCUGGAAUAACAACGGGAAACCGUUGCUAAUGCCGGAUAACCCCUGCGGUUCGCAUGUCUCGCAGGGCAAAGAAUUUCGGUUCGGGAUCGGCCCGCGGCCUAUCAGCUUGUUGGUGGGGUAAUGGCCUACCAAGGCAGUGACGGGUAGCUGGCGUGAGAGCGUGGCCAGCCACACUGGGACUGAGACACGGCCCAGACUCCUACGGGAGGCAGCAGUAGGGAAUCUUGCGCAAUGGGCGAAAGCCUGACGCAGCGACGCCGCGUGAGGGAUGACGGCUUUCGGGUUGUAAACCUCUUUCAGCAGGGACGAAGCCUCACGGUGACGGUACCUGCAGAAGAAG